AUAACAAUACAGGACUCUUUCGAGGCCCUGUAAUUGUAAUGAGUCCACAUUAAAUCCUUUAAUUAGGAUCAAUUGAAGGGCAAGUCUGGUGCAGAGCGACUGACCCGUGCGUGCUGCAGCUAAAA
This is a non-coding RNA of Pelobates cultripes (western spadefoot toad), 125 nucleotides long. The record is from the annotation of a GenBank genome assembly. NCBI's taxonomy places the organism in Eukaryota, Metazoa, Chordata, Amphibia, Anura, Pelobatidae.